Molecule: long non-coding RNA, 246 nt
Organism: Strongylocentrotus purpuratus (purple sea urchin)
Lineage: Eukaryota; Metazoa; Echinodermata; Echinoidea; Camarodonta; Strongylocentrotidae
Exons: 3
Source: RefSeq, a predicted model, not a curated record
GUAUUGGUUUUUUCCUUCUUUUUAUUCCAACAGAUUGAAACUAAAGAGCUAAAAGAAGUUAACAACAUGAAGCAGAAAGUCCCAUGCAGGAUGAUGCUUCUCUACAGUGGGUGAUGAAGGCAUGCUGGUUUACAAACUCAGGAGAGGAACAAAGAAGAGAUAUUGACGGGAUCAUAUCUAGAGAUGCGGGCCUACUACACUUCAUACGAGCAAGUGUGCUAAUAUACAUACUUGGGUUAUCACUAC